Molecule: ribosomal RNA, 274 nt
Filed under: uncultured bacterium
Lineage: Bacteria
Description: partial 16S ribosomal RNA
Rfam family: Bacterial small subunit ribosomal RNA
Source: RNAcentral
AUACGGAGGGUGCGAGCGCUAAUCGGAAUUACUGGGCGUAAAGGGUGCGUAGGCGGCUUGAUAAGUCGGAUGUGAAAGCCCCGGGCUUAACCUGGGAAUUGCAUUCGAUACUGUCAGGCUAGAGUAUGUCAGAGGUUGGCGGAAUUCCUGGUGUAGCGGUGAAAUGCGUAGAUAUCAGGAGGAACACCAGUGGCGAAGGCGGCUAACUGGGGCAAUACUGACGCUGAGGCACGAAAGCGUGGGGAGCAAACAGGAUUAGAAACCCUAGUAGUCC